Salmo salar (Atlantic salmon) is the source of this 58-nucleotide non-coding RNA. The record is from Rfam. NCBI's taxonomy places the organism in Eukaryota, Metazoa, Chordata, Actinopteri, Salmoniformes, Salmonidae.
UGGCUCAGUUGGUAGAGCAUGGUGUUUGCAAUGCCAGGGUUGUGGGUUCGAUUCCCAA